GCUAAAUACAGUAGAGAGGCUAUAUACAGUAGAGAGGCUAUAUACAGUAGAGAGGCUAUAUACAGUAGAGGGGCUAUAUACAGUAGAGAGGCUAUAUACAGUAGAGAGGCUAUAUACAGUAGAGAGGCUAUAUACAGUAGAGAGGCUAUAUACAGUAGAGAGGCUAUAUACAGUAGAGAGGCUAUAUACAGUAGAGGCUAUAUACAGUAGAGAGGCUAUAUACAGUAGAGAGGCUAUAUACAGUAGAGAGGCUACAUACAGUAGAGAGGCUACAUACAGUAGAGAGGCUAUAUACAGUAGAGAGGCUAUAUACAGUAGAGAGGAUAUAUACAGUAGAGAGGCUAUAUACAGUAGAGAGGCUAUAUACAGUAGAGAGGCUAUAUACAGUAGAGAGGAUAUAUACAGUAGAGAGGCUAUAUACAGUAGAGGCUAUAUACAGUAGAGAGGCUAUAUACAGUAGAGAGGCUAUAUACAGUAGAGAGGCUAUAUACAGUAGAGAGGUUAUAUACAGUAGAGAGGCUAUAUACAGUAGAGAGGCUAUAUAAAGUAGAGAGGUUAUAUACAGUAGAGAGGCUAUAUACAGUAGAGGGGCUAUAUACAGUAGAGAGGCUAUAUACAGUAGAGAGGUUCUAUACAGUAGAGAGGCUAUAUACAGUAGAGGCUAUAUACAGUAGAGAGGUUAUAUACAGUAGAGAGACUAUAUACAGUAGAGGCUAUAUACAGUAGAGAGGCUAUAUACAGUAGAGAGGCUAUAUACAGUAGAGAGGUUAUAUACAGUAGAGAG
This 784-nucleotide long non-coding RNA is filed under the name Salmo salar (Atlantic salmon). Its description in RNAcentral is "lncRNA (ENSSSAG00000115434.1)". The record is from RNAcentral. Lineage: Eukaryota; Metazoa; Chordata; Actinopteri; Salmoniformes; Salmonidae.